Vicia faba (fava bean) is the source of this 279-nucleotide non-coding RNA. NCBI's taxonomy places the organism in Eukaryota, Viridiplantae, Streptophyta, Magnoliopsida, Fabales, Fabaceae. The record is from the annotation of a GenBank genome assembly.
AUGCUACCAUAUUCUUCGAGGAUGCAUCCAGUUGUCCAUGUUUCCCUUUUGAAAUCAUAUCAUGGUACAAACCCAAGUGCAAAUUUUCGUUCUCUUCCUCCAAAUAACAACUUACACUUCAGUGACGUGGAGGAUAUUCUGAACAACACCAUGUUUCAACCCAUAACUGAACCAAGUAAAGAUGUGGGUCUUAAAUCUCUUAUUGACAGAGACGAAGAAAGAAAAAAACAGUUGAGUUUAAAGGAAGUGUUAGACAAAAAUGUGGAACUAAGGACUUAG